GGGUGGGGGCGGGGGGAGGGCUAGAGGACACAGGGCAGGACUUUCCAUGCAGGUGCGAAGACCGGACCUUAGCUUGGCUCCAGGAAGUGCCCGCGGUGCCAAAGCGCAGUCGGAGGUGCGCAAGCCUCGGUGCUGGGGAACGAGGGAGCAACCCCGCAACUCCCGAGAGAGGCACUCAAGACGAGCCUAAACCAGAUGGUCCGGGCCUGGGGCCUCACCCUUACCCUACGUGAGGACUCCUGCCUAUUUUUGUCGCCCUACCCCCUUGACGACGGGCCUGUUGCCUGGAGAUGUAAGCGCGUUGGCGGGUGGGGACUAGCGGCAAAUGUGUCAAGUGUGCGUGCGGGAGUCGCUGAUCCUCUUCUCCAAUCCGGACCAACAUCCCAAUUGGGACAGUGCCACGUGCAGGGCUUCCAGCACUUUUUCGACCCGUCGAUCUUGGUGAGGCUCCUUUGAGGCGCGUUUCCAGGCAGCCCGAACUUCCCCAAAUUCUCUCAUUUAUGUGACUGAGAAACUGAAUGAGAAUCCGGCGGGAAGAAGGUACUCCAGCCUGUCAAGAACAAAGACAUGGGGUUGCCAAGACCGAUCUGAAACAGGCAGGAGCCGCACCUCGCGGUUUCGCAAAAGCAGGGCGCUGUUUCCAGAGCUUCGGACAAUGGGGAGAGCGGAAGACCGGGACAUGGAGGGGGCCUCCAAGGCUUUGCCCAUUGAACCCACACUGCAGUGAGUCCCCACUUGACCGAUAAAGAGACUGAGGCGCCCGGGACGGAAGUGACUCGCGCCGGGACACGGCGGCCGGGAGAGUGGGAAGUAGACAGUUCUAGCGGAUUCAGGCGACCAGCAUUUCCCCUUGGGGUGUAGGUAGGUGGUGUCCGCGGGCGGCUGCGGGUCUCUGGACCGCGGACCCGGGCCUGCCCGUUUGUCCCCACCCCUGAAAGCACUAAGCCAAUCAGGCUCGAGGGAGGAAGGGCCCUCGCUCUUCGGGCCCCGCCCCCUCUAGAUAAGCCAGGAAUGUCAAAUAUUUGUUCGCGGGGCGGGGCGCAACAGCAAGGUAAGGCCCCUCCCCCACCCACCCUAGAGCGCGCGUGCGCCAGGCGUAGUCGGGCCCUUCUCCCCGCCAAGCUUUUGCUGCCAACUCGCCUUCAUCCCAGCAGUGCCUCAGCCCUGGGGCCUCUCCUAAAACUUCCCUGGCCAGGUGCAUAGCUCCUGUCCGGCUCUUGUCGGGGCUGCUGCUACAGGGGCUCGUGGAAUCUCAUCCGGAAUCUCGUCCUCGCCUCUUCGCCUCGCUUCUUCGUGGCAGGACUCGCCUCAUGAGUCCUGUCACAAAGGCAGCGGUCGCUCCAGCCGCCGGUACAUGAAGACACACAGGUGGGAUUGUUCGGGUCUGGAGGCUGUUGUAUUAUACUGGCUAAGCUCACUGCCUGGAGCACCCACCGACCUACUCAUCCCCUUGUUUUCCUGGCAAACUCCUACUUAUCUUUGAAGACCGGUCUUUAAUUCUUCCUCCAGGCAGCCUUCCUUGAUGUCUAAGCCAGGUUAGAUACCCUGUUCUGGGCCCCUUUCCCCCAAGGUUCAGUCAUGAUUGUGUCAGUGUUUGGCGUCUCAUGAAUCCAGGGAGGCUCUGGCAGCAGAGGAAUAGAAGCGUACUGAGCUAUUAGCUUUAGGAGACUCACUUGGCUUCCAAAUAGGCUCAGCUAUGGCUACCAAACCAGCUCAGAAGCCCUGAUCUUGGUUGGUUGCCCCAAGCCCAUCCACCCACCUGGUCCAGGUAGAGGAGCUUGCAGCUUGGGCAAAGGAGAGGGAAUGCAAAGAGCCCAGUAACACAGGAGGGGUAAAGGCUGUUAGCUGGAUUUUCACCUGAGGAAGAUACCACAACUGGCUUGGCUCUUCAGCCUCUGGAUUUAUUUCCUACCUCUGGUCUUCGCUCAAAAUGUUCCUCUCCACAGGAACACCCUCCCUAUUUCCCAGUCUUUUCCAGAACUCACAUCCAGCCCUUGGACCUCUCAGUUCCUUAUCUUCUUCUCUAGGUUUGACAGACACCAGGACCCUAUCCUGGAAGGUAGAGAACGGGUGUAUCAAUCAUUCAUGCAACAUAUGUUAAGCACUUGCUGUGUGCCAGAUACUGUGCUGGUGGUAACUAGUAACCCAGGAGGCGACAGUAAUAGGACAUGUGAAGGAUUUGCUCUUCCAGUGAUUGUAUUUUAAUGGGAGCCAGGCAGGGGCUGCUUCAAAGCCAAUGGUCAUGUUGGACGGAGGCCUAAAUGCAGAGCUCAGUUGAGUUCCCAAAAGUUGGGGCGGCAGAAUGAUCCUAGUGGAAUAAGUACAGAAGUCCUGAGGGAGAAUGAGGUUGUCUUGCUCUAGGCAGCAAGGAAGCCAUUGAGGCUGGAAAUUAGAAAGCUGGAGAAAGGGGGGAGUAGAAAUCAGGGGAGAUGGUCAGAGUACCCUGCAGGAUCCUCACUCACUAUCAGUGAAAUGCGUAUGAUGAAUGCAAUGGGAGGGUCACGAGUGGGGUUAGGCAGACAGUGAUAGGGCCUGGCUUACUGUUUAAUGAUUUCAACCUCGUAUGUGGAGAACAACCCACAGGAAUAAGGGACAAAUUGGGACAUCAGUGAGGAAGCUACUAUGGGGAUUAGGGUAGUCUGGUUUGGGGAGGGUAGAGCUGGCAAGACUGGUGACCAUCUGAUUGUGGGCCUGAAAGUCAGGGAGGUAUUUAGAGUCCAGGGUGACCCCAGGUCUGCAGCCAUCAUGUGGAUAGUGGGAUCAUGUGAAAUGGGGGGACCCUCACCUUCUGACCCUUCUUCACAAUGCCAGCAUGGAUCAUUACUGACCAAGCCUUGGAAACCCCUCCCCUAAUGGCCAUGGUUUCUAUUACCUGCAGGGCCGUGGGAGUGAGCACCUCAGGAACUGCUCCUGAGGACAGGGCCACCCUGUGAUGGCCCUCAGCGUCACCUGAGGCUGUUGGGCUGACAAGACAUUCAGACUGUGCCAGAGUGCAGAGUGCAAAGCACUGUCUUGUUCCCUACCGUCUCCCCACUUAACCCUUCGCUCUGGUCUCCUGCCUGUCCCUGCUAGAUUGGUCCUUAGUAACCCCUCUGCUGGGCCCGGGAUGGAGGCGAGGGAGGCAGGUGUGCUAAUUUUUUUUGGUGGGGAGGAGUGUCACUGGGUCAGGGCCUGAGGUGGGACAUAGUUGGACCUCAAAAGAGGAGGCUACCUCCUCCACCGGUGUGUUUCAGUAUAAGAACACAGGAGAGGCAGGCCAAGAUAGUGAGUAGAUUCAUUGAAGGGCACUCUGAGAGUCUGGAAAGGGUCAAUUACUGAGUAAGAGGAAGAAAGGAAGGAAGGGGAAGAAUAGAGGUCUUAAGACCAGCUGACCAGGGUGUGACUGGCCCUCGGGAGGGAGUGUGGGAUCAAGACUUCCAGUCUCCAAACCCAUGACUCCCUCUCCCAGAGCGAUGCAUGAUGCUGGCAUAUUACCGGCUGUCAAGUCUCUAUCCCCUCUGUUCACCCCCAAUUCCUCACUCAGGGAGCCUGUAUCCUCUCUGGAUCCCCAGGUUUGCUUGGGGUGGGAGUAAUGGGGGGACCACGAAGUCCCAACCCGCUC
Rhinolophus ferrumequinum (greater horseshoe bat) is the source of this 3601-nucleotide long non-coding RNA. RefSeq lists it as uncharacterized. The record is from RefSeq and is a predicted model, not a curated record. The transcript is spliced from 3 exons. NCBI's taxonomy places the organism in Eukaryota, Metazoa, Chordata, Mammalia, Chiroptera, Rhinolophidae.